Molecule: ribosomal RNA, 120 nt
Filed under: Allium sacculiferum
Lineage: Eukaryota; Viridiplantae; Streptophyta; Magnoliopsida; Asparagales; Amaryllidaceae
Source: RNAcentral
GGGUGCGAUCAUACCAGCACUAAAGCACCGGAUCCCAUCAGAACUCCGAAGUUAAGCGUGCUUGGGCGAGAGUAGUACUAGGAUGGGCGACCUCCUGGGAAGUCCUCGUGUUGCACUCCU